This 500-nucleotide ribosomal RNA is filed under the name uncultured bacterium. Its description in RNAcentral is "partial 16S ribosomal RNA". It matches the Rfam family "Bacterial small subunit ribosomal RNA", at positions 30 to 523 of the family's 1533-position model. The record is from RNAcentral.
AUUGAACGCUGGCGGAAUGCUUUACACAUGCAAGUCGAACGGCAGCAUGGACUUCGGUCUGGUGGCGAGUGGCGAACGGGUGAGUAAUGUAUCGGAACGUGCCCAGUCGUGGGGGAUAACGUAGUGAAAAUUACGCUAAUACCGCAUACGAUCUAUGGAUGAAAGCGGGGGAUCGCAAGACCUCGCGCGAUUGGAGCGGCCGAUAUCAGAUUAGGUAGUUGGUGGGGUAAAGGCCCACCAAGACAACGAUAGGGAGCGGGUCUGAGAGGACGACCAGCCAGACUGGAACGGAGAACCGGUCCAGACUCCUACGGGAGGCAGCAGUGGGGAAUUUUGGACAAUGGGCGAAAGCCUGAUCCAGCCCUCCGGCGUGCAGGGUGAAGGCCCUCGGGUUGUAAACUGCUUUUGUACAGAACGAAAAGGUUUCUACUAAUACUAGGAGCUCAUGACGGUACUGUAAGAAUAAGCACCGGCUAACUACGUGCCAGCCGCCGCCGUAA